AAAGCGCGAAAUGUGUCAUGACUUGCAGAUUCCCGAGAGCUGACAAAUUUCUGAAUGCAAAUGGCACCUGAUUUAACACCAGGUAUGCAUCGUAGAGUGUAGUUGCUCCAGCUAUUCAUCAAUUUCUUUUUCUUCCGAAAACAGAACAUUGGAUCUGCGUUUGCGCGCCGCUGUUUAAAUACUGCGGUGCGCGAACGUGAAGAGGAGAGGUGUUUGUGCCAACACAUGUUGUUGUGCACAAAAGACGCACCGAUGACUUCUUGUCGGGCGACGACACAAAGCACCAAAUUUAUUCUUUAUAUGAGCCACCUCUACGAUACAUGAAAACCCGCUGAACUUAA
RNAcentral lists this unclassified non-coding RNA (341 nucleotides) under uncultured fungus. RNAcentral describes it as "sequence contains ITS1". The stretch from base 1 to 102 matches the Rfam family "5.8S ribosomal RNA", at positions 50 to 154 of the family's 154-position model. Lineage: Eukaryota; Fungi. The record is from RNAcentral.